CAGCAGGAAGAAACCCCAGGAGGAAGAAACCUCAGACAGAUCGCCGGGGAGGCAGCGCGGGAUCCCAGCCUCAGGCGUGCGCGGACGGUGUGCGGAGUCUAGCUUUGUACCAGGCUGCAGUGCAGUAGUGCCAUCUCAGCUCACUGCAACCUCUGCCUCCUGGGUUCAAGCGAUUGUCCUGCCUCAGCCUCCCGAGUAGCUGGGAUUACAGGCACAUGCCACCACACCCAGCUAAUGUUUGUAUUUUUAGUAGAUACGGGGUUUCAUCAUGUUGCCCAGGAUGGUCUUAAUUUCCUGACCUCGUGAUCCGCCCAUCUCGGCCUCCCAAAAUGCUGGGAUUACAGGCAUGAGCCACCAGAACCGGACAUGCUUUCCUUAAAAGCUAAAUAUUUUAGGCUUGUGUGCCAUUAGGCUCUGUUACAACUACUUAAUUCUGCUUUUGUAAUUCUAUAGCACCCAUUGAUAAUACAUAAACAAAUGAGCAUGAAUGUGUCUCAGUAAAAAUUUGUUCACAUAAACAGGCAGUCCACCCAUGAAGCUAUAGCUUGCUGACCCCUUGUUUAAACAAUCAAUUGAAUUCAAACAGAAAUAAAAGGAUCUUAUAUAUUUAACCAUGUUGA
Molecule: long non-coding RNA, 620 nt
Filed under: Homo sapiens (human)
Lineage: Eukaryota; Metazoa; Chordata; Mammalia; Primates; Hominidae
Description: HSALNT0352082
Source: RNAcentral